This 74-nucleotide transfer RNA is filed under the name Triticum aestivum (bread wheat). It matches the Rfam family "tRNA". Rfam says of the family: Transfer RNA (tRNA) molecules are approximately 80 nucleotides in length. The record is from Rfam by way of RNAcentral. Lineage: Eukaryota; Viridiplantae; Streptophyta; Magnoliopsida; Poales; Poaceae.
GGGAUUGUAGUUCAAUUGGUUAGAGCACCGCCCUGUCAAGGCGGAAGCUACGGGUUCGAGCCCCUUCAUUCCCG